UAACCCAGGAGAGGCAGGAGUGAAGAUGCUUGAGCAGCUAAGACUGGACACUCUGAGGGCGGAGCCUGCUGGAGUCCGAUGGUUGAGACCAGGUCUGAGGAAGUAUUCCUGUCAACUCACAAUCGACACAAACACAGUGAACACAAACCUCCAACUGUCUGACAACAACAGGAAGGUGACACGUGUGGAGGAGGUUCAGUCAUAUCCUGAUCAUCCAGACAGAUUUGAUGUUUGUGAACAGCUGCUGUGUAGAGAUGGUCUGACUGGUCGCUGUUACUGGGAGGUCGAGUGGACGAGGAGGGCUUGGAUAUCAGUGAGUUAC
Long non-coding RNA from Pelmatolapia mariae (spotted tilapia), 322 nucleotides. RefSeq lists it as uncharacterized. The record is from RefSeq and is a predicted model, not a curated record. The transcript has 3 exons. Lineage: Eukaryota; Metazoa; Chordata; Actinopteri; Cichliformes; Cichlidae.